GACAGUUUCUUCUUCCUCGGGAGCAACCGCUCCCCCGACCCGCGCUGCCGGCGACCGUCUCGUCGGCGAGGAGCGGGAAAAACCCGGCGCGCCGUCUCGUCGGCGAGGAGCGGGAAAAACCCGGCGCGCCGUCAUCUCUGCUGCGGGGAGCCGCGCGGAGGGCGCCACCGCUCCGGGGCCGGGGGGGCAGCCGAGGGCCGUUGCCUCGGGCGCCGCCUGCGCGGUUGUGAGCCAAGGGCCGCGUCGUCGCCUCGGUCUUCCAUACCGCGUCACGGUUGUGGGCCAUCCUUGCGGGCGGCGAGGCCGAAGGACGCCACUGCGUGCGCGCCCCAAGGAGCCGCGAGACUGUCGCCUCGCCUUGCCUUGCUUUGCUGACGCGCAUGGAGCAAGUCAUCGACUCCGGAGGGACGAGCCACCGCAGCGCGCACGCUCCAGGUGUCGCCGGCCGGAAGCCGGGACAAUUCCCUCGGCAGGCGAGGCCAUGGAGGAAGUCGCUCCGAGUUAGAUGCAGUGGCCGCAUCGUGCGCCAGGGGGCUUCACCGCGGAGGACGGUCUAGGAGCCACGACCUCGGGUGCCUCCGCGCGGGCAGCGACCGCGUCGUGGAGCGGCUGCGAAAACGGUGGUUCCGUUGUCCCGGUCCAGCGCGGGGCCAAGGCCAGAGGAAGCUGAUGCCAUUGUCGCGAUGCGACUCGAUGUGUGGCAGCGCCGUCGCAAGCCUAAACCAAGCGCCGUCGGCUGUUGUGGUCUGGCGAAGAGCCGACGUCGUCUAGGAAGAUCCCAGGCUAAUGGCUCCAUGGGAGGAUAGAACGGGAUGUCUGGAAGAUGGAAUUGAAGAUUCCUGAGUUGAUGUCGCUCUUCUUUGGAUUUCUUUUCUGUCAAGAGUGUUGCAGGGACGGCGGCCUGGCCGGUGGCGUGGAAGUCCGCUGCGAUCCAGGGCCAUUGAGUUUUUGUAAUAGCCCUCGCCUCUGUGCGUGCGUAACCUCCGUCUCGGGCAUGGCCCUUUUCUUUCGCUGUGUUAGAAUACAACUUGUAACUAGUAAAAUGCCCGUGCGAUUGUCACGGGCAAUGGUACAUGUAUAAAUCAUGGACAUAUCACUAAAUAAUCUCAUUUUAAUGAUUCUAAAAAAA
Triticum dicoccoides is the source of this 1129-nucleotide long non-coding RNA. RefSeq lists it as uncharacterized. NCBI's taxonomy places the organism in Eukaryota, Viridiplantae, Streptophyta, Magnoliopsida, Poales, Poaceae. The record is from RefSeq and is a predicted model, not a curated record. The transcript has 2 exons.